UACGUGAAACCGUUCGGGGGUAAACGUGAGAAAUCCGAGAAUGAUUCAACAGGAGAGAUUNCACGCCNCAUCCGCCCAGCGGUCCUCCCUCCGGCAAGAUGGGGCCGCCCUCCCGCGCGGAGCAAUCCGCGUCGGGGUCGUGCGCGGUUACAAUUUUUUCCCACUUAAGUUCGGAGUGGGUAGUGUCGCGGCGGUGGGCCGCACUUCUAUCCCUGUUGCACGUCGCGACCCGUUGGGUGUCGGUCUAAGGCCCGGUGUUGUGUUCAGUCCUUCCGUGCAGCAAUGUACGCUCGUUGGGCUUGACCCCUGGUGUUUCCCGGCCGACUGCUCGACGGUAAAAGUUGAAGGAGUCGAUUCGCCACUUCAAUGUGGGCGUCCGAUCCCUCGGCAAGCGUUUGCGGUUGAUAGUUGGAUGUCGGUGCCUUCCGGCCCGGCUCCGGCCCCGUUUCGCUGUUGGCUCGAGUGUGAUCUCGGACGGAAUCUGUCUCCAGUCAGCGGCGCUCAAGCCUUGGAUAAUUUCACGACCCGUCUUGAAACACGGACCAAGGAGUCUAACAUGUGCGUGAGUCAUUGGGAGUUACUAGACCUAAAGGCGCAAUGAAAGUAAAGGUCUCGCCUUGCGCGGACCGAGGGAAGAUGGGCGCGGUUUUCCGAUCGCUUGCCUCACAUUCCCGGGGCGUCUCUCGAUCUCACUGCGAGAUGAGGCGCACCCAGAACGUACACGUUGGGACCCGAAAGAUGGUGAACUAUGCCUGGCCAGGACGAAGUCAGGGGAAACCCUGAUGGAGGUCCGUAGCGAUUCUGACGUGCAAAUCGAUCGUCGGAGCUGGGUAUAGGGGCGAAAGACUAAUCGAACCAUC
RNAcentral lists this ribosomal RNA (860 nucleotides) under Orthoptera sp. NZAC 03010908. RNAcentral describes it as "eukaryotic LSU rRNA". It matches the Rfam family "Eukaryotic large subunit ribosomal RNA", at positions 396 to 944 of the family's 3401-position model. The record is from RNAcentral. Lineage: Eukaryota; Metazoa; Arthropoda; Insecta; Orthoptera.